RNAcentral lists this ribosomal RNA (472 nucleotides) under uncultured bacterium. Its description in RNAcentral is "SSU rRNA". It matches the Rfam family "Bacterial small subunit ribosomal RNA", at positions 26 to 518 of the family's 1533-position model. The record is from RNAcentral.
AGGACGAACGCUGGCGGCGCGCUUAACACAUGCAAGUCGAACGUGAAGCCCGGGCUUGCCCGGGUGGAAAGUGGCGAACGGGUGCGUAACACGUGAGCAACCUGCCCCGAAGACCGGGAUAACACCGGGAAACCGGUGCUAAUACCGGAUGCCCUCAUCAUGUCGCAUGGCGAGAUGAGGAAAUGGAUUCCGCUUCGGGAUGGGCUCGCGGCUUAUCAGCUUGUUGGUGAGGUAACGGCUCACCAAGGCUACGACGAGUAGCUGGUCUGAGAGGAUGUCCAGCCACACUGGGACUGAGACACGGCCCAGACUCCUACGGGAGGCAGCAGUGGGGAAUCUUGCACAAUGGGCGAAAGCCUGAUGCAGCGACGCCGCGUGCGGGAUGACGGCCUUCGGGUUGUAACCGCUUUCAGCAGGGACGAUGAUGACGGUACCUGCAGAGACGCCCGGCAACUACGUGCCAGCACGCCGC